Molecule: ribosomal RNA, 492 nt
Filed under: uncultured bacterium
Lineage: Bacteria
Description: partial 16S ribosomal RNA
Rfam family: Bacterial small subunit ribosomal RNA
Source: RNAcentral
AGUGAACGCUGGCGAUAGGCCUAACACAUGCAAGUCGAACGGCAGCACAGUAAGAGCUUGCUCUUACGGGUGGCGAGUGGCGGACGGGUGAGGAAUACAUCGGAAUCUACUUUUUCGUGGGGGAUAACGUAGGGAAACUUACGCUAAUACCGCAUACGACCUACGGGUGAAAGCAGGGGAUCUUCGGACCUUGCGCGAUUGAAUGAGCCGAUGUCGGAUUAGCUAGUUGGCGGGGUAAAGGCCCACCAAGGCGACGAUCCGUAGCUGGUCUGAGAGGAUGAUCAGCCACACGGGAACUGGGACACGGUCAGGACUCCUACGGGAGGCAGCAGUGGGGAAUAUUGGAAAAUGGGGGCAGGCCUGAUCCAGCCAUACCGCGUGGGUGAAAAAGGCCUUCGGGUUGUAAAGCCCUUUUGUUGGGAAAGAAAAGCAGCAGGUUAAUACCCCGCUGUUCUGACGGUACCCAAAGAAUAAGCACCGGCCAACUUCGUG